ACAUCCAGAGAACUUAGCAGAGAUGCUUUGGUGCCUUCGGGAACUCUGAGACAGGUGCUGCAUGGCUGUCGUCAGCUCGUGUUGUGAAAUGUUGGGUUAAGUCCCGCAACGAGCGCAACCCUUAUCCUUUGUUGCCAGCGGCUCGGCCGGGAACUCAAAGGAGACUGCCGGUGAUAAACCGGAGGAAGGUGGGGAUGACGUCAAGUCAUCAUGGCCCUUACGGCCAGGGCUACACACGUGCUACAAUGGCGCAUACAAAGAGAAGCGACCUCGCGAGAGCAAGCGGACCUCAUAAAGUGCGUCGUAGUCCGGAUUGGAGUCUGCAACUCGACUCCAUGAAGUCGGAAUCGCUAGUAAUCGUAGAUCAGAAUGCUACGGUGAGUACGUUCCCGGGCCUUGUACACACCGCCCGUCACACCAUGGGAGUGGGUUGCAAAAGAAGUAGGUAGCUUAACCUUCGGGAGGGCGCUUACCACUUUGUGAUUCAUGACUGGGGUGAAGUCGUAACAAGGUAGGCGUACGUGU
RNAcentral lists this ribosomal RNA (525 nucleotides) under uncultured bacterium. RNAcentral's name for it is "bacterial SSU rRNA". It matches the Rfam family "Bacterial small subunit ribosomal RNA", at positions 984 to 1509 of the family's 1533-position model. The record is from RNAcentral.